UUGCUCAAACAAGCCUUGUGGGUAGCUUG
Molecule: non-coding RNA, 29 nt
Filed under: Mus musculus (house mouse)
Lineage: Eukaryota; Metazoa; Chordata; Mammalia; Rodentia; Muridae
Source: RNAcentral